Molecule: ribosomal RNA, 354 nt
Filed under: Lingulaulax polyedra
Lineage: Eukaryota; Dinophyceae; Gonyaulacales; Lingulodiniaceae
Description: Lingulodinium polyedra partial Bacterial large subunit ribosomal RNA
Rfam family: Bacterial large subunit ribosomal RNA
Source: RNAcentral
ACCUCGGGGGGUAGAGCACUGGAUGGGUAAUGGGGCCCCACAGGCUUACUGAUCCUAACCAAACUCCGAAUACCCGGGAGUACUAGAUGGCAGACACACGGCGGAUGCUAACGUCCGUCGUGGAGAGGGAAACAACCCUGACCUCCAGCUAAGGCCCCUAAUUCAUGGCUAAGUGGGAAAGCAGGUGAGACGACCAAAACAACCAGGAGGUUGGCUUAGAAGCAGCCAUCCUUUAAAGAUAGCGUAACAGCUCACUGGUCUAAACAAGUUGUCCUGCGGCGAAGAUGUAACGGGGCUCAAGCCAUGAGCCGAAGCUGAGGAUGCACAUAGUGCAUGGUAGCGGAGCGUAGUGUG